Non-coding RNA from Ceratotherium simum simum (southern white rhinoceros), 112 nucleotides. The record is from RefSeq and is a predicted model, not a curated record. NCBI's taxonomy places the organism in Eukaryota, Metazoa, Chordata, Mammalia, Perissodactyla, Rhinocerotidae.
GAAAUAGAGACUAAAAAAACAAUAGAAAGGAUCAAUGAAACUAAGGGCUGAUUCUUCGAUAAGAUAAACAAAACUGGCAAACCCUUAGCCAGACUCAUUGAGAGAAAGAGAG